GAUGAACGCUAGCUACAGGCUUAACACAUGCAAGUCGAGGGGAAACGAUAGAGAAAGCUUGCUUUUUCUAGGCGUCGACCGGCGCACGGGUGAGUAACGCGUAUCCAACCUGCCCACCACUUGGGGAUAACCUUGCGAAAGUAAGACUAAUACCCAAUGACGUCUCUAGAAGACAUCUGAAAGAGAUUAAAGAUUUAUCGGUGAUGGAUGGGGAUGCGUCUGAUUAGCUUGUUGGCGGGGUAACGGCCCACCAAGGCGACGAUCAGUAGGGGUUCUGAGAGGAAGGUCCCCCANAUUGGAACUGAGACACGGUCCAAACUCCUACGGGAGGCAGCAGUGAGGAAUAUUGGUCAAUGGGCGAGAGCCUGAACCAGCCAAGUAGCGUGAAGGAUGACUGCCCUAUGGGGUUGUAAAACUUCUUUUAUAAAGGAAUAAAGUCGGGUAUGCAUACCCGUUUGCAUGUACUCUAUGAAUAAGGAUCGGCUAACUCCGUG
Molecule: ribosomal RNA, 494 nt
Filed under: uncultured bacterium
Lineage: Bacteria
Description: bacterial SSU rRNA
Rfam family: Bacterial small subunit ribosomal RNA
Source: RNAcentral